GAGUUUUGAUCCUGGCUCAGGAUGAACGCUAGCUACAGGCUUAACACAUGCAAGUCGAACGAGAGAGAAGGAGCUUGCUUCUUCGAUCGAGUGGCGAACGGGUGAGUAACGCGUGAGGAACCUGCCUCAAAGAGGGGGACAACAGUUGGAAACGACUGCUAAUACCGCAUAAGCCCACGGGUCGGCAUCGACCAGAGGGAAAAGGAGCAAUCCGCUUUGAGAUGGCCUCGCGUCCGAUUAGCUAGUUGGUGAGGUAACGGCCCACCAAGGCGACGAUCGGUAGCCGGACUGAGAGGUUGAACGGCCACAUUGGGAAUGAGACACGGCCCAGACUCCUACGGGAGGCAGCA
This 350-nucleotide ribosomal RNA is filed under the name uncultured bacterium. RNAcentral describes it as "bacterial SSU rRNA". It matches the Rfam family "Bacterial small subunit ribosomal RNA", at positions 9 to 353 of the family's 1533-position model. The record is from RNAcentral.